GACGUAGGGCGCGAGCGUUUGUCCGGAUUUAUUGGGCGUAAAGAGCUCGUAGGCGGCUUGUCGCGUCGUUUCGUGAAAACCCGGGGCUCAACUCCGGGCUUGCGGGCGAUACGGGCAGGCUAGAGUUCGGUAGGGGAGACUGGAAUUCCUGGUGUAGCGGUGAAAUGCGCAGAUAUCUGGAGGAACACCGGCGGCGAAGGCGGCUCACUGGCCAUAUAUUGACACUGAAGCACGAAAGCGUGGGGAGCAAACAGG
This 255-nucleotide ribosomal RNA is filed under the name uncultured bacterium. Its description in RNAcentral is "partial 16S ribosomal RNA". It matches the Rfam family "Bacterial small subunit ribosomal RNA", at positions 524 to 776 of the family's 1533-position model. The record is from RNAcentral.